This 773-nucleotide long non-coding RNA is filed under the name Bos indicus x Bos taurus (hybrid cattle). RNAcentral describes it as "lncRNA (ENSBIXG00005020025.1)". The record is from RNAcentral. Lineage: Eukaryota; Metazoa; Chordata; Mammalia; Artiodactyla; Bovidae.
AGGAAUUAUAACUUAAUAGGUAGUCUAAUCAUCAAGAAUUGAUUAGAUCUGAUUUAAUUACUACAGGUAAUCACCUAUAAGUAAAGUCCUAAAAAACAUGUCUUGCCUAAGAGGAAAUAAAUCAGAUGCAAGCAUCAGCUCAUCCUAGUCACUGGUAGGCAGCCAGCAAGAGUUAAUAAAUGCCAGGAUGAGCAUGUAAGUAUAAACUGGUAAUGGGGAGGCAGGCAAAUGAAAGAGCAAGGGCCGCAACCUGAAGACUUUUUUUUAACCUCAUAACUUUGCCUAGAAUCAGCUCAAUUGCCAGGCUCUAGAUCUGUUCUCCACCUGGGACAAAGGUGAAAAGCUUUACUCUCUGAGGGCAACAUGCUUGUUUGGGAAAGAACUUGAAGUAGUCUACUACACAGUACUCCUGGUUUCUACAAAGACCAUCAAGGACCCCUCUUGGUAUUUGCCUCCUCCUGCUGAAGAUUUUCUCCCCUAAAACAAGCAUGCAGCACAGUCAGAUAAGACUUUGAGGUGAGGUAACUGUGUAACUAAACCGGAAUCAACAGUCAUGGGUUAGUUUGCUCAGCCUAUCUUAUCUAUACAAGGUUAUUUUGGGGGCAAAUUUGAACUUUCUUUGAUUCAUAAAGUGAAAAUGCCAUUUUUUUUCCUUUGUAAAUUUAUUUUAAAUAAGUAAUUCUGAAUGCAGAAUUUGUGGGCUGUUAAAAUUUCAAUUGGAUUGGAAAGAUGAGAGGUAAAUCAAAACUUUCUUGAAUUCCUAUUAAUAUAUA